This 1850-nucleotide long non-coding RNA is filed under the name Sus scrofa (pig). Its description in RNAcentral is "lncRNA (ENSSSCG00060034060.1)". Lineage: Eukaryota; Metazoa; Chordata; Mammalia; Artiodactyla; Suidae. The record is from RNAcentral.
CUAUGCUCAUUACGUCAAAAACUACAUUGGGGGAUAAAGGGAGCAUGUCUGCUUCAAGAGUUGGCAAUUGGGGUUUGUUAGUCUCUCCGCCCACACACUUCCAUCAAACAAUGUCUCAUUCAACUGCAUAAGUCAAAGUUUACAACUCCCCUCUUUCCAGCUGGAACAGGCCUGGGAAGUGUGAACGAAAAUCAUGGCUCACAGAAUCACAGAACAGGCUUGCAGGCCGAGCUGUUCCGAUAGUGCUUGGAGUUUCUUCUCAGCCCACAAGAAGGGUUUCAGUUUCUGCUGAUGGUUGGCAAACUUGAGCCUCUGUGUCACCUGCUUCUAAAGUUUACUGGCCCCAGGUCCGUACAGACCAGUGACCGAGUUGAUCUCCCGCCCACCUCAUCAGUGUUUGCAGCUGCUCCAUCUCUGUGCCUUGGGCUUGGGAGUUUGUCUUCAGGCAUCACCACGUAAGGAAAACAGGCUGCAAACCACACUAAAUACCAACCCUAGACUUUGAAUCCUGAGUGUGGCUUCCUGUGUUAGCCUUAAAAUGGUGUUCCACUCUCCAAGAAAUACGCACUCCUUGGGCACACUGAAGGUGUUGCCUGAUCUUUAAAGGACCUGGGUGAUUAUUUAAGUCAUUUUAGGGAUUCCUUAAACUUUAAAAAAAAAAAAAAAAAAAAGAAAGAAAGAGCAACAGCCAAAGUUUUCAAUUUCAAAGAGGAUCAUUCACACAGGAGAACAAUAAACCUUCCACCAAAUGCUUUUACACAUACACACAAAGAAAUCAUUCUUGAUCUUGCUCUUUUAUCAGUCUGGUGUAUUUUUUCCCAGAUGAUCUAAAAACACAUCUAUAUACUACUAUAUACUACUAUCCCUGUCCUAAAAUUUUAAAAAUCCAGUGUACUUUAACUUCUAUGCCAACCUCAAAAAGGGACAAGCAUUGCUUUACCUAUUUAACCUGUGGAGAAAUGGAGAUUCUGAGAAAAAUAUAUACAUUUUGAAUAUAUUAAGUACAUUUCUUUGAACAUCUUAGGGCAAAGUAAAUAUUGCUUAAAUUCACUUAACUAAGUAGAUGUACUCAUGAAAUUGUGUGGAAAGUAAACAUCUAUAUGUGAGAUCAUGAUUUCUAAUUUUGGAGAGAAUAAUUUUGGCUCUGACAUAUAAUAAAGUCAGAGUAACGCAGCAAAGAGCAUGAUAUGUUUGAUGAUUUGCAUGUACUGUGCCUUUGUCUCUCCCAUGCAGACACUAGAAAAAAAUUCGUAAAAUGGACAAAGGACAAUGAGUUCCUGUGGUUUGGGAUGCUUGUUUAAUUCAUACAUAAUUUAAAUAUCUGAUCAACACCCAUUUCAUUGAAUUCUCAUGACCUCUACUGAGAUAAUGUUAUUUCUUUUUUGAUGUUAAUUGGAAAAACAUUGCUCAAAAUAUAAAAUCAUUAAAAUAUGAGGUAAGAGAAGCUCUGGGGAAUUCUUUAAGGUUUGGGAUAUAGUCUUUGCCCUCAGCAGUUUAUAACCUUGCUGAGAAAUAGCAGUAAAACAGGAAAAGUGUAAAUGUUGAUAUAGCCUGAUUUGCUGAGCCUCUGCUUUGAAGCAGUUGUCCUCAAGUUUAUUUCUGUGUAAGAAUUCCACUGGUGGGGGAGUUCCCAUCUUGGCUCAGUGGUAACAAACCCGACUAGGAUCCACGAGGAUGCGGUUCGACCCCUGGCCUCACUCAGUGGGUUGGGGAUCCGACGUUGCCGUGAGCUGUGUGUAGGUUGCAGACAUGGCUCGGAUCCCAUGUUUCUGUGGCUGUGGUGUAGGCCCACAGCUGCAGUUCUGAUUGGACCUGGGAACCCCCAUAUGCUGCAGGAGGAGAAGUUGAUG